GAACUGGUCAGUAACAGGUGAGUUGAUACCAAAUGAUUCACUUGCCUCUCAGCAGGUAGUUGGUAGGAUAAUAGCUUACCAAGCCAAUGACGAGUAGGGAGAGUGAAAGCUUGAAUCUCGACACUGGAAAUGAAAAAGUCCAGAGCAUAGAUUAUGUGCAGCAGUGGAGAAUAUUGGUCAAUGCACGAAAGUGUGAACCAGUAACUUAGAGUUAAAAGUCAUUUUCUGAUAUCAGAAGAUUUACUUUUGAAUAAGUAUAAUAAAUGAUGAUUAUUAUACCGAAUAGUCCAGUCUAAUCUCC
This 301-nucleotide ribosomal RNA is filed under the name Cryptococcus deneoformans. RNAcentral's name for it is "SSU rRNA". The stretch from base 1 to 205 matches the Rfam family "Bacterial small subunit ribosomal RNA", at positions 100 to 395 of the family's 1533-position model. Lineage: Eukaryota; Fungi; Basidiomycota; Tremellomycetes; Tremellales; Cryptococcaceae. The record is from RNAcentral.